AUACGUAGGGCGCAAGCGUUGUCCGGAAUUAUUGGGCGUAAAGAGCUCGUAGGCGGUUUGUCGCGUCUGCUGUGAAAACCCGAGGCUCAACCUCGGGCCUGCAGUGGGUACGGGCAGACUAGAGUGCGGUAGGGGAGACUGGAACUCCUGGUGUAGCGGUGGAAUGCGCAGAUAUCAGGAAGAACACCAAUGGCGAAGGCAGGUCUCUGGGCCGUAACUGACGCUGAGGAGCGAAAGCAUGGGGAGCGAACAGGAUUAGAUACCCUGGUAGUCCAUGCCGUAAACGUUGGGCGCUAGACGUGGGGACCUUUCCACGGUUUCCGUGUCGUAGCUAACGCAUUAAGCGCCCCGCCUGGGGAGUACGGCCGCAAGGCUAAA
Molecule: ribosomal RNA, 378 nt
Filed under: uncultured bacterium
Lineage: Bacteria
Description: bacterial SSU rRNA
Rfam family: Bacterial small subunit ribosomal RNA
Source: RNAcentral